Vigna unguiculata (cowpea) is the source of this 2781-nucleotide unclassified non-coding RNA. Lineage: Eukaryota; Viridiplantae; Streptophyta; Magnoliopsida; Fabales; Fabaceae. The record is from RefSeq and is a predicted model, not a curated record.
CUCUUGAAUAAACCUUUUUAGUCUAGGGACUGUUUGGUGACACCCUUUCGACUGCACUUUUUGUUAUGUUGUAGUUUGAAAGUGAUUCCUACUCGCGUUUGGUGACAAGAAGUACCCAGCGAUCGCCCAAGAGAUUAAUUAAUUUAUUAACAAUGAUGGGUUUGUGAGCCAGAAGUGUGCAGCAGUGCGCUGAAAAUGAAAAUGGCUUCUGAUUGCGGUGAAGCAGUGAUGGAUUCUGUUGGAACAACAUCAUCAUCAUUGUCAGCAUCAAUUAUCAAGAUCACCAAAUUCGUUGAGUAGAACCAAAUGGGAGGGAGUCAUGACCAGAGCCAAAACUUCUCCACCAACCCUUCCGACUACAAGCUUCUAGAAGAAGUUGGUUAUGGCGCCACCGCCACCGUCUACCGAGCCAUCUAUCUUCCCUUCAACCAGGUGGUUGCCGUCAAAUGCAUGGAUCUCGAUCGCUGUGACAUCAAUCUGGAUGAUUUGCGAAGGGAAGCGCAGAUGAUGAGCCUGGUCGAUCAUCCGAACGUACUGAAGGCAUACUGCUCCUUCGCUGUGGAGCGGAGUUUGUGGGUUGUGAUGCAGUUCAUGGACGAGGGCUCCUGUUUGCAUCUCAUGAAGAUUGCGUACACGGAGGGGUUCGAGGAGGAGGCAAUCGGAUCCAUCCUCAAAGAAACUCUGAAGGCCCUGCAGUACCUCCACCACCACGGCCACAUUCAUCGGGACGUCAAAGCCGGCAACAUUUUACUUGGCAGCAGCGGCGCCGUCAAGCUCGCCGACUUCGGUGUUGCCGCUUGUUUGUUCGACGCCGGCGACAGGCAGCGCUACAGAAACACUUUUGUGGGGACCCCUUGCUGGAUGGCUCCUGAGGUUCUGCAACCUUCAAGUGGCUAUAAUUCUAAGGCUGAUAUUUGGUCUUUUGGGAUUACGGCACUUGAGUUGGCUCAUGGUCAUGCCCCAUUUUCAAAAUACCCUCCAAUGAAGGUUCUUCUAAUGACCAUACAGAAUGCCCCUCCCGGACUUGAUUAUGACCGUGAUAAGAAGUUCUCUAAGUCUUUUAAGGAAAUGGUUGCUAUGUGCCUAGUGAAAGACCAAACAAAAAGGCCAUCAGCAGAGAAGUUACUGAAACAUUCCUUCUUCAAACAUGUUAAGCCUCCCGAGCUCUCUGUAAAAAAACUGUUUGCUGACUUACCCCCUCUUUGGAAUCGUGUAAAAGCACUCCAGCUCAAAGAUGCAGCUCAACUUGCAAUGAAGAAAAUGCCUUCUGCAGAAGAAGAGGCAAUAUCUCAGAGUCAAUACCAACGAGGAGUUAGCACGUGGAACUUUCAUAUUGAUGAUUUGAAAGCUCAAGCUUCAUUGGUGAGGGAUGAUGAUGAUAUUGUUGAGAUGAGGGAAGAAGAUCAAAACAAAAACAAUUUUUUCACUAAUUACAAGGCUGGUGCAAUUGAUUCAGAGAAAUCACCACUGAAUAAAAUCACAUCACAGGUAGGGGCUAUAGACAUAAAACAGACACAGCAAAAUGAAUGCUUCUACAAAAACAAGAAGAUUCCAGAAAGCAAAAUCCAGGAACCUGCACUGCCCAAAAAUAUUAUUUGUAAGAGAAAUGGGUCAACAUCAGAGGCAAUGACAUCUAAUAUACAGAAAGAUAUAAUUAUGAGCAAAAUUAGAGGCCAAACAGUAAAAACCCGUCAAACUCAAAGUGGACCACUGUUGCCAGUCACAGUUCUCAAUCAUUUCAAAUCAGAAAGGGAACAAACAUCAGAAAGGCUUGAGAAUGGAAAUCAGUUACCGGGUGAGAAAAAUAAUCGUGAAGUGCGACGACCUCCAAAUUUUAGUGGACCGUUGAUGCUUUCUGCACGAGCCUCAGCAAAUAGUUUAUCAGCUCCAAUAAAGUCUUCGGGAGGGUUCAGGGAUUCCUUGGAUGACAAGUCUAGGGCUAAUCUAGUACAAAUUAAAGGGAGGUUUUCUGUGACAUCAGAAAAUUUAGAUCUUGUAAAGGAUAUUCCUGGAAGUUCAGUUUCACUUAGAUCUUCACAGGGCUCAUCACUGCGGAAAUCUGCCAGUGUUAGUGAUGGGAUGUUGGAUUCCGAACAAAUGCCAAUUAGUCAGGCCUCCCAAGAUUCUGCCACCAAUAACAUCUCUGCAUCACUUCUUAUGACUCACCUUCAAAAUCUUCUCCAGCAAACAUUAAUGCAACAGGAUCUUAUAGUGAAUCUGUUGAGUAGCUUGCAAUCUGCUGAAGGUAUUGAAGUUUCACAGAAUGGAAAGUUGCCACUAAUACCUUGCAGUUCACAAAUAAAUAGGGGUACGUUUGUCAUUGACAGGUCGACACAGCAGCUGCAGGGAGGGAACGUUAUCUGCUGCUCAAAAUAAUGGAGCUUCAGACUCGUAUGGUCACUUUGACUGAUGAAUUGACUGCUGAGAAGUUAAAAUACAUGCAGUUGCAACAACAGCUAACGACUCUCCAAACUAAGGAACAAAAUAGGGAGAAGGGAGAGUACGUUGCGUGAAAGCUGAUUAAUUCCACUGCGUUUUGGAUAUUGAAACUAGAGUUGUGUAUCUUCCCGAUCCAAUUUGACUUGCCAAGCAAAAUGUUUGUAUGAAGUUACAGAGUUACAGAUGUAAUACAAGAUUAUUUAUUUCAUUCAAUAUUCCUAUGCAUUCAAGCUUUCUCUGUUGUAUCUUCUGCAACCUUGCUUAGUUUGCCGAUCCAUUACGGAUUUUUGUAAAGAAAUAUAUACGGGAUCUAAUAUAUCUUAUAUUUUAGCUUGUAUAUUA